Molecule: transfer RNA, 69 nt
Filed under: Centropristis striata (black sea bass)
Lineage: Eukaryota; Metazoa; Chordata; Actinopteri; Perciformes; Serranidae
Description: tRNA-Ser
Source: RNAcentral
GGGAGAGGCUUGCCAAGAAACAAGGACUGCUAAUCCAAGUACCCCCGGUUGGAUUCCGGGGCUCCCCCA